AAUUAUUAUUAGAUUUUUAAAUAAUUAUUCACGAAAUAAAUUGAGCUAAAUUUUUGGUAUUUUUGGAAAUUAUAACUAUAUGUUACAAAAUAUAUUAACUAAAUAGAUUUAGGGGUGAAAGGCCUAUCAAAUUUUAUGAUAUCUUGAAGUAUAUAAAAUAUAUCAAGUAUUUUAAUUCAACUAUUGAAUGUUUAGGUUCAAUAGUAACAUUAUAUUUUUUAAAAAAUAGUUCAAUUUUUUUAAGUAAAAUUGAGUUAGAGCAUAAAAUAUACAUCAAAUUUUUAUUAUAUGAAUAUAAAUAUACUACGGUUAUUAAUAAAUAUAAUCAUAUAUAAUGUAAUUAUUAGUAAUAGUUUAUUAAACUAUAUAAAGGAAUUCGGCAAGAAAAUUUUUCACCUGUUUAUCAAAAACAUAGCUUAUUGAAUAUCAUAAUAAGUAACCCCUGCUCAAUGGAAAUCUAAAUAGCCGCAGUACCUUGACUGUGCAAAGGUAGCAUAAUCAAUUGGCUUAUAAUUGAAGUCUGGAAUGAAUGGGUAAUCUGGAAAAUAACUGUCUUUAUUUGUAGUAUUUUGAAUUUACUUAUAAAGUGAAAAUACUUUAAUAUAAAUAUAAGACGAGAAGACCCUAGAAAUUUUUUGUUAAUAACUUUUGUUGGGGCGACAGGGUAACAUAUAAACUUACUUACAUUUAUAUAAAUCUUAUAAGGUACGUAACUAAAUUACUCUAGGGAUAACAGCAUAAUAUAUAAAAGUUUAUGACCUCGAUGUUGGACUAGGUAAUUAAAUAUUUAAAAGAUAUCUUAAUUUGCUCUGUUCGAGCAGUACCACCUACAU
RNAcentral lists this ribosomal RNA (833 nucleotides) under Perforatella incarnata. Its description in RNAcentral is "Monachoides incarnatus partial large subunit ribosomal RNA". The record is from RNAcentral. Lineage: Eukaryota; Metazoa; Mollusca; Gastropoda; Stylommatophora; Hygromiidae.